CUUUUAAAACCGAAAGUAGGAUUUCUAGAUGUAUACGUCCAUUUCGACGGACGCGAUAAUUUUUCAGUUUUAAAGCGCAAAAAAGGAUUUCUACCUUGUAACUACCAGAUAUAUUCUAAUUGGCUUAUUCUAUUUUCCGAACCUGAAGGAUGCUCAAAAGCAACAUCAAUGGACAAUUUCGUGUCGUCGCCGAACAUCAUUUUAUAUGGGGUGUGAGCUGUAGCAGAGUGAACAGAUGACCUGUAUGCCAUCAAGCAGAAAGAGCGAUCCGUGAUGGGAACAAUGAAACCAUGCAAGUCCGGACACAACAGCAGAACAUUUUGGUUUUUAUUGUCAUAAUAAAUAAACA
Molecule: long non-coding RNA, 349 nt
Organism: Dreissena polymorpha
Lineage: Eukaryota; Metazoa; Mollusca; Bivalvia; Myida; Dreissenidae
Exons: 3
Source: RefSeq, a predicted model, not a curated record